AAAUUGACGGGGACCCGCACAAGCGGUGGAUGAUGUGGAUUAAUUCGAUGCAACGCGAAGAACCUUACCUACCCUUGACAUGUCCGGAACUUGCCAGAGAUGGCUUGGUGCCCGAAAGGGAAUCGGAACACAGGUGCUGCAUGGCUGUCGUCAGCUCGUGUCGUGAGAUGUUGGGUUAAGUCCCGCAACGAGCGCAACCCUUAUCAUUAGUUGCUACGCAAGGGCACUCUAAUGAGACUGCCGGUGACAAACCGGAGGAAGGUGGGGAUGACGUUAAGUCCUCAUGGCCCUUAUGGGUAGGGCUUCACACGUCAUACAAUGGUCGGUACAGAGGGUUGCCAAGCCGCGAGGCGGAGCCAAUCCCACAAAGCCGAUCGUAGUCCGGAUUGUUCUCUGCAACUCGAGAGCAUGAAGUCGGAAUCGCUAGUAAUCGCAGGUCAGCAUACUGCGGUGAAUACGUUCCCGGGUCUU
This 471-nucleotide ribosomal RNA is filed under the name uncultured Thiobacillus sp. Its description in RNAcentral is "bacterial SSU rRNA". It matches the Rfam family "Bacterial small subunit ribosomal RNA", at positions 908 to 1382 of the family's 1533-position model. Lineage: Bacteria; Pseudomonadati; Pseudomonadota; Betaproteobacteria; Nitrosomonadales; Thiobacillaceae. The record is from RNAcentral.